AUUGAACGCUGGCGGCGUGCCUAACACAUGCAAGUCGAACGGUAACAGGUGUAGCAAUACAUGCUGACGAGCGGCGGACGGGUGAGUAACGCUUGGGAAUCUGCCUAUUAGUGGGGGACAACCCGGGGAAACUCGGGCUAAUACCGCAUACGCUCUACGGAGGAAAGCCGGGGACCGCAAGGCCUGGCGCUAAUAGAUGAGCCCAAGUCGGAUUAGCUAGUUGGUAGGGUAAUGGCCUACCAAGGCGACGAUCGGUAGCUGGUCUGAGAGGACGACCAGCCACACUGGGACUGAGACACGGCCCAGACUCCUACGGGAGGCAGCAGUGGGGAAUAUUGGACAAUGGGCGCAAGCCUGAUCCAGCGAUGCCGCGUGUGUGAAGAAGGCCU
RNAcentral lists this ribosomal RNA (389 nucleotides) under uncultured bacterium. RNAcentral describes it as "bacterial SSU rRNA". It matches the Rfam family "Bacterial small subunit ribosomal RNA", at positions 29 to 417 of the family's 1533-position model. The record is from RNAcentral.